GCUGGCGGCGUGCUUACACAUGCAAGUCGAGCGGAGUUUACUGGUGAUAAUUUCGAUUUGAUCCAACUAAACUUAGCGGCGGACGGGUGAGUAACACGUGGGCGACCUACCCUUAAGACUGGGAUAACAACCCGAAAGGGUUGCUAAUACCGGAUACCUUCUAGUAGCUGCAUGGCCACUAGAAGAAAUGAUUUUAUCGCUUAAGGAUGGGCCCGCGUCCCAUUAGCUAGUUGGAGAGGUAACGGCUCACCAAGGCGACGAUGGGUAGCUGGUCUGAGAGGACGAUCAGCCACACUGGAACUGAGACACGGUCCAGACUCCUACGGGAGGCAGCAGUGGGGAAUAUUGCACAAUGGGCGCAAGCCUGAUGCAGCAACGCCGCGUGAGCGAAGACGGCCUUCGGGUUGUAAAGCUCUGUCAGGGGGGACGAUAAUGACGGUACCCCCAGAGGAAGCCCCGGCUAACUACGUGCCAGCAGCCGCGGUAAUACGUAGGGGGCGAGCGUUGUCCGGAAUUACUGGGCGUAAAGGGCGUGUAGGCGGCCAUAUAAGUCAGCUGUGAAACCCCCGGGCUCAACCCGGGACGUGCAGUUGAAACUAUAUGGCUUGAGUGCAGGAGAGGAGAGUGGAAUUCCUAGUGUAGCGGUGACAUGCGUAGAUAUUAGGAGGAACACCAGUGGCGAAGGCGGCUCUCUGGACUGUAACUGACGCUGAGGCGCGAAAGCGUGGGGAGCAAACAGGAU
Molecule: ribosomal RNA, 742 nt
Filed under: uncultured bacterium
Lineage: Bacteria
Description: bacterial SSU rRNA
Rfam family: Bacterial small subunit ribosomal RNA
Source: RNAcentral